This 580-nucleotide ribosomal RNA is filed under the name uncultured bacterium. Its description in RNAcentral is "bacterial SSU rRNA". It matches the Rfam family "Bacterial small subunit ribosomal RNA", at positions 104 to 680 of the family's 1533-position model. The record is from RNAcentral.
GGGUGAGUAAUAUAUCGGAACGUGCCCAGUCGUGGGGGAUAACGUAGAGAAAUUUACGCUAAUACCGCAUACGAUCUAAGGAUGAAAGCGGGGGACCUUCGGGCCUCGCGCGAUUGGAGCGGCUGAUAUCAGAUUAGGUUGUUGGUGAGGUAAAAGCUCACCAAGCCGACGAUCUGUAGCUGGUUUGAGAGAACGACCAGCCACACUGGGACUGAGACACGGCCCAGACUCCUACGGGAGGCAGCAGUGGGGAAUUUUGGACAAUGGGCGAAAGCCUGAUCCAGCAAUGCCGCGUGCAGGAAGAAGGCCUUCGGGUUGUAAACUGCUUUUGUACGGAACGAAAAGGCCAGCCCUAAUACGGCAGGCCCAUGACGGUACCGUAAGAAUAAGCACCGGCUAACUACGUGCCAGCAGCCGCGGUAAUACGUAGGGUGCGAGCGUUAAUCGGAAUUACUGGGCGUAAAGCGUGCGCAGGCGGUUGUGUAAGACAGUUGUGAAAUCCCCGGGCUCAACCUGGGAAUUGCAUCUGUGACUGCACAGCUAGAGUACGGUAGAGGGGGAUGGAAUUCCGCGUGUAGCA